GUGAUCUCUUCUGCAGCACAUAUACUAAAAUUGGACUGAUACAGAGAAAGUUAGCAUAACCCCUGCUUAAGCUAAAGAGUACUAUAAAAUAUUAUAUUUUGUU
Molecule: small nuclear RNA, 103 nt
Organism: Mesocricetus auratus (golden hamster)
Lineage: Eukaryota; Metazoa; Chordata; Mammalia; Rodentia; Cricetidae
Source: Ensembl